AUCAGUCACUCCCUCUUCCGAAAGCUGCCCUUCAGGUGAAGAAAACCUUGUGACCUCCUCCUUCUCUUUUGCGGGUGCAACUGUCCCCUCUCCCAAACUCCUUGGUACUGGCAGCUCUGUGAUGAGGUGAGAGGGCAGACACUUUGGGGUUGCUGUGGAGGGCGGGGCCUGGUCUCUUCUCAUUUCCCCUGUUCUCAUGGCUGCCUUGAGAGGGAGACCAAGUGGACCCCUGCUUCCUCUCCCUCUGCCCCUAAUACCGCAGGUUCCUCCUUGGACAGGCUUUUGCUGGUGGAGCUGAGCUGGGGAGGUGUUAGGAGUCUCUUCAUCUGCAUGAUAUGCAUAUCACCCUCUCCAUUUUCUUUUUCCAAAUGAACUCACACCAGGAAGUGGAACAAAUCAAGAUGGCUG
This 408-nucleotide long non-coding RNA is filed under the name Homo sapiens (human). Its description in RNAcentral is "HSALNT0236988". Lineage: Eukaryota; Metazoa; Chordata; Mammalia; Primates; Hominidae. The record is from RNAcentral.